CGGUGCAAAUGGUGAGGUACAGACGCGAGGUACAAACAAGGCUUCCGUCCUUGUACAUCGGAGUUAUUGACAACAAAGUUGACGACUAUUCCACACUGUGUUUCAGGUGCUUCCGUGGCCGCGUUUGUGGUGUCUUCACGUUCUGCUCCAGUUCUCGAAAAGGACACACAAGUCUUUGGUGGCCAAAGGAAGUUUGCCUUCCUUCAGAGAUAUGAUCAAUGUUAUUACUUGCAGUACACAACACUGUUGUGUACGCAUCAACUUUGAGGGCAUGACGGAUGCUGCGGUUAAGACGACGGUGAAGAAAUUGCUCUAUUUUGCUGCAGACAGAAACGGUGGACGGUCACGACGGCGAACCCGAAAGGAGACUGCGGAAUAGAAUUCUAUUUCUUAGAACCUA
Ornithodoros turicata is the source of this 400-nucleotide long non-coding RNA. RefSeq lists it as uncharacterized. The record is from RefSeq and is a predicted model, not a curated record. The transcript has 3 exons. Lineage: Eukaryota; Metazoa; Arthropoda; Arachnida; Ixodida; Argasidae.